GAGGGUAUAGUUCAAAUGGUAGAGUGCAUGUUUAGCAAGCACGAGGUCCUGGGUUCAAUCCUCAGUACCUCCU
Molecule: transfer RNA, 73 nt
Organism: Camelus ferus (Wild Bactrian camel)
Lineage: Eukaryota; Metazoa; Chordata; Mammalia; Artiodactyla; Camelidae
Rfam family: tRNA
About the family: Transfer RNA (tRNA) molecules are approximately 80 nucleotides in length.
Source: Rfam